This is a long non-coding RNA of Sebastes umbrosus (honeycomb rockfish), 1322 nucleotides long. RefSeq lists it as uncharacterized. The record is from RefSeq and is a predicted model, not a curated record. NCBI's taxonomy places the organism in Eukaryota, Metazoa, Chordata, Actinopteri, Perciformes, Sebastidae. The transcript has 3 exons.
GCUUAAAAAGUUACAAACAGUCCCUUUAAAUGCAGGACUUUAAAAGUUUAAUUUUUUUUUUUUUUUUUUUACAGUGGAGUCAUGUAGACAUUAUGAGCAAAGUCACUAAUCAGUGAUGAAAAAGGAAAAGCCUGGAUCAUAGUCUUCAUCGUCUGGGGAACAUUAACCACAUUGUGUGCUAAUCGAUCCAAUAGUUCCUGAGAUAUUUCACUAAAAAACUAAAAUGUGAAUCUCAUGAUGGCGUUAGAGGAACAAUCACCAAAGUCAUUAGUGUUCAUUCUCUGGGGACCAUGAAUGUCUGUAGUGCGUCCCUGUUUGUACUUUCAGAUAUACAGUAUAUAUAUAAGCUCUAUUUUGCUUUCAGCUGUACAGGAGUUGUGUUAAGUUGCUGAUGAAUGUAUAAUUUUAUAUAUUUUAUCUGUUCUUGUUCUGUAUGCACCUUGUCCUUUUACUCUAAUGCAAUGAUCUAUGAGCCAUGUUGUUUGUCAAUUUUAAUUUGUUAAAUAAAAAAAUAAAAAAAAGUUGGUGAAGAUGACAAACCAAACAUGUCCUGAUUGUGCUCCUUCAUAAUAAAAGCUUUAAAAUUAACAAAAUAACGGGGGAGUUUUCUUGUGAAUAAUUUAUAGGAAAUUCAAGUUUUAUCUCCGACUUUACGAUGCUGUGUAAAAAAAAAACAAGUCUACUACUGCACAGGAGAGAAGUAAAAGCAGCGAAAAUAAAGGAGGACUUUUAUUGUGAAGAAUGUAGAAAGUGGAAUGUGCGUAUCACCGUUUUACAGCCGUUACCUUGACAACUACACACACCGUUUAGCGGGUAAACCCUUGAUUGUCAUCAGUAGAGCCACGCUGCGUCUAAAUAAACAACCAGGUGUUAAGUGUUGCAGAGGUCAGAGGACACCUGAGGACUGACCCGUUCCUGAGGCGGCCGGCGGACCCUGAAGAAGAAGACGACCAGCGAGGAUGUUGUCUUCAGAUUGAAAUCAUGUUAAAGGACCAGUGAACACCUGUGGACAACCUCACCUGGUCUGAGACGUUGUACCAGUCAUAGUCAAAGGAGUUGAUGGUCUCGAUGUUGGUGAGGGCGAGCACCACCAGGUUGUAGCAGGCCCGCGAUGCGUACAGCAACACCACCAUGAUGCCAAUCAGAGUCACCUGACACACCGACGUCCCCUGCACACACAGGUAGAUGUUGGCCAGCGACAUCUUGGCGACCUUGUAGAGGCAGACGGACAGCGAGACGGCGCAGAGGACGAACAGGCUGUCGUUGAUGGUGACCCUCACCAGGACGAUGGUCUUGACGUCAGCGGCGGUCAUUUUAACCAG